ACGGCUCAGUAACACGUGGAUAACCUACCCUCAGAUCUGGGAUAACUCCGGGAAACUGGAGAUAAUACCGGAUAAUCCGUGAACGCUGGAAUGCCUCAUGGUUGAAAGCUUUAGCGUCUGAGGAUGGGUCUGCGGCCGAUUAGGUAGUUGCUGGGGUAACGUCCCAACAAGCCGAUAAUCGGUACGGGUUGUGAGAGCAAGAGCCCGGAGAUGGAUUCUGAGACACGAAUCCAGGUCCUACGGGGCGCAGCAGGCGCGAAAACUUUACACUGCGCGAAAGCGCGAUAAGGGGACCUCGAGUGCGUGCGCAAUGCGUACGCUUUUCAGAUGCCUAAAAAGCAUCUGGAAUAAGGGCCGGGCAAGACCGGUGCCAGCCGCCGCGGUAACACCGGCGGCUCGAGUGGUAACCGUUAUUAUUGGGUCUAAAGGGUCUGUAGCCGGCCGGGUAAGUCUCUUGGGAAAUCUGGCAGCUUAACUGUCAGGCUUUCAGGAGAUACUGCCUGGCUCGAGGCCGGGAGAGGUGAGAGGUACUUCAGGGGUAGGGGUGAAAUCUUGUAAUCCUUGAAGGACCACCAGUGGCGAAGGCGUCUCACCAGAACGGACCUGACGGCAAGGGACGAAAGCUAGGGGCACGAACCGGAUUAGAUGCCCGGGUAGUCCUAGCCGUAAACGAUACUCGCUAGGUGUCGGCCACGGUGCGACCGUUGUCGGUGCCGUAGGGAAGCCGUGAAGCGAGCCACCUGGGAAGUACGGCCGCAAGGCUGAAACUUAAAGGAAUUGGCGGGGGAGCAC
This 792-nucleotide ribosomal RNA is filed under the name uncultured archaeon. Its description in RNAcentral is "partial 16S ribosomal RNA". It matches the Rfam family "Archaeal small subunit ribosomal RNA", at positions 85 to 879 of the family's 1478-position model. The record is from RNAcentral.